This 2877-nucleotide unclassified non-coding RNA is filed under the name Hevea brasiliensis (rubber tree). The record is from RNAcentral. Lineage: Eukaryota; Viridiplantae; Streptophyta; Magnoliopsida; Malpighiales; Euphorbiaceae.
AAAAAAUAUAUUAUGAUACACUUUUAAAGUGAUAAACAACCCAUGAAUUCUGAUAAAAAAAAACCAUGAACUAUUUUUUUUAUAAAAUAAAAAAAAAUCACAAAAUGAUAAACAAAAAUUAAUAAAAAUUAAUUUACUUCAGUCUUCAGUCCUAUUCAAAUCAGAGCAAAUCUAACCUCUCCCCUCUCCAUCACCCCACAAACCUUCCCCAGCACGUGCCAAAAAAACACAUCACACGUGCCAAUCACUCCACCAAACUUUGAUUAAAAAAUAGUAAUAAUAAUAAUAAUAAUGAAACCAUCACCAAUCAAUCAAGGCCUCCAUGCACUAGCCCACACCACCGGCUGGUCCUUCCAGCACAGGAAUAUUCCGGCGUCGCUGCACUGUGUCAUUGACCAUCCUUCCUUAUACCUUCUCAACAAGGCGCGUACAUCAUCACACACCUCAUCACUGAACAAAACAGUGCUAAACCCACAUGCAUGCAUCCGUGCAGACCAGCGCGUGGCCGUUUCCCGCCGUUCUAUACAGUCGGACGGCGAACAUGCCACCAAGUCAACUAUGGCACGUCCUGCAGUCCUCUCUAGCAUCAACCUUUCGUUGCUUGUUCUUGAAAAGCUCUCUUCCAAUGACUCAAAAUAAACCCUAAACCAUCUCAAGCAUUCUUGGAAACCCCUUACGAAGUCUAACCCAUCAACACCCACAUCAAGAUCAGCUUCUUCUUCAACAAUAGUGAUGAUUCUUGGUUGCAAUCUUCUGAAACUUGAUAUAAUAUAAUCUCUGCGAUCAGCCACAGAAGUAACAGAGUGUAGAGAUCCUACACAGUUGAUGGCUAGAGCUUCAUCGUCUUUAAUGUCCAAUUCAGCUAAGUUUAGAUCACAUAAGUCACCUGCAUGAUGUAUGGCACGGAAUUUAAAUGGUACGCCCAUAAGCCUAGCAAAUUUUUCCAUUCUGCUUCCAAUUUCUUUCAUUACCUUCUGGGCUGCAGCUAAACUUCCGUCGCCUCUGCCACCACCACUAGUUUUGGUAGCAACUACGGUGGUUAGCCUGAGGUGUGGUGUUUCAUCAGUACGGGUUGCUAGGGCUUCUAGCAAAGUAGGCCACUGGGUGCAAUAUGUGUUGCUAAUAUCAAUAAUAUGCAAUUUGGUUUCACCUUCAAAUGCUUCCAUGAUUGCACCAUUACAAGAUACGUGACCAAAAGUGGUCCAAGGACUUACCUCUUGAAACUUCAAUACCAUUUUUCUUGUAGACUCGAAAGAACAAGUUUUAUCCGAUGCAGAAGCUAAAGUACGGUAGCAUCGCUCGCCGGAGUCCGUCAUCCGGCUAAACAAAGCUUGGAGAAAGUAGGAGGCAAGCUUUUGGUCGGGGUCGCCAUAAGGAGAGGCGAGUUCAUUGAGCAUCCACAUGAGUUGCUGGACACGGGCGCUGUUUUUAUCGGCGAUGGCACGAGCAGUUUCGAGGAGAAUAUCAGAGGCCCACUGGCCGGAAAAUUCAAAGUUUAGGUCACAAGUAGAUGAGAAAGAGAAGUCAGUGGAUUCAAGGGCAUGUUGAGUAGUAGGAGUGCUAGUAUUAGUGGUGGUAGUGGUAGGAGUAGCAGCAGUGGUGUGUUGUUGAUGGUGAUAAGGAUAGCAAUGCUUAGAAGAAGACGAAGAGAAGUCUUCUUCAUCCAUGAAAAAAUUGAAGCAUUCUUCGUCUUCUUGUUGGUAGUGAUGGUGGUUGUUUUGUCUUGAGGAUCUAGAGCUGCUAGAGGUUCUGCUAGUAGAGUUAUUGAAAGAUUGAUCUGAUUGUUGGUGACUAACGAGCCUAAACAAGGUAUCCAUCUAAAAACCUACCAGAGACCCACAUCAAUAGACUUUGGAUUGAGUUUGUUGGGUUUCUUGGAGAGUGAAUGAAGGAGAAAGAUGGGUGUGUUUGUGUUUUUAACAGUGGACAAUUGAGGAGAUGGAGAAUGAUUAAAGGUGAUAGCUAGAGUCUUCAACUUGAAUAUUAGCCUAAUUGGCUAAUUUUGCUUAAGAUAUAUGAUUAGGGAAUGAGAGAGGGGAAUCUAAGCAAGUUAAAACGUGAGUUUCCUUUGGAGCAAUCGAUGAAAUUGGAGUGGGGCUAAUGGGCUUAUUUUCUUUCCUUUGUUUUUUAAGAAAAGGAAAGUAAAAUUAGAUAAGAUAGCUAAAUAGCUAGAGUAGUUUAGAAAUAGAAGUACGUAUCUGGCAAGGUCAAGGUGAGCAUAUGGUUAGUGGAUUAGCUUUUCAUUCUUGAAAAAGAGAGAAUGUCAUAGGUUUUAGUGGGAGCAGGCGUGCCAAUUGGGUUUAGGAGAGAGAAAUGAGUAAAGCUGCCGGCGUGCAUCAUCAUUAUCAAACGCACCAUCACCCAACACAUUCUAUUCAUAUUCUUUGCCUCCUAAUCCCUCUCCAAACACUGCCAAAAUUCCCCCACCACUUUUUCCUUUUCUAUACUGUACAUAAACCCAUACAUCAACGCUUUAUAAUAUAAUUGUCUAUUCUAAUACCGAAAUGUACUCUUCUCCAAUUUCAAGGGCAUGCUCUUUCACCUUUUUUUUACCUUCUCCACUACUCCCACAUGAUAUAUACUUCACUACCACAACCAAUCAAGUAUUAGAGAUGGCCUAUAGCUCCUCUCACUAGCUAUGGAGCUAGCUAUACCCCAAAAUCUUAUAUACUAGAUACCCACUUGAUUAAGUCAUCCUCCUGUUCAUUAUUGCACCCCCAAGCACAAAGUGCACCACUUGGCCUUGUAUGUCUCGACCUUGUUGUCCUCAUCUUGAACCUUAGCUCUCUCUGGAAACAAUAUCUAUAUAUUUGGUUGGCCUACACAUAUGAAGCACUCAGCAUUUUAUUUGUUUGCGUCAGCUUAGUUAAACUCAAG